RNAcentral lists this ribosomal RNA (103 nucleotides) under uncultured bacterium. RNAcentral describes it as "partial 16S ribosomal RNA". The record is from RNAcentral.
CCAAUACACAUUUCUUCCCUAUUGACAGAGUUUUACGACCCUAAGGCCUUCAUCACUCACGCGGCGUCGCUGCAUCAGGGUUUCCCCCAUUGUGCAAAAUUCC